UAAUGUAGACCGACACAUUGGAAAGGGUUAGAGAGCUCCCAAUAUAUAAUGUAGACUGGCACAUGGAAAGGGUUAGAGAGCUCCCAAUAUAUAAUGUAGACUGACACAUUGGAAAGGGUUAGAGAGCUCCCAAUAUAUAAUGUAGACUGACACAUUGGAAAGGGUUAACAGUUGUCAUGUGUAUUGGCUCUAAACCAAUCAUUGGUCAUUGUUUUAGCAGUAUAAUGUUAUGUUUUAAGCCUGCUGUGGUUUAAAGGGGCAUUUUUUUCUCUGGGUUUUGUUGCCAUAUUUCCUUCCGUUGUAUCUKUUCAUAUGAGACCACCUAAAGCAUUGACUGGUGAUCUGGUAACAUAUGUAUGACAACCAACAUGGAUGAUCCAAUUCAUUAUUUAAGCAGAAAUAAAUUGUGAUUAAACUGAAACAGUC
Molecule: non-coding RNA, 426 nt
Organism: Salvelinus sp. IW2-2015
Lineage: Eukaryota; Metazoa; Chordata; Actinopteri; Salmoniformes; Salmonidae
Source: RefSeq, a predicted model, not a curated record